Molecule: ribosomal RNA, 492 nt
Filed under: uncultured bacterium
Lineage: Bacteria
Description: partial 16S ribosomal RNA
Rfam family: Bacterial small subunit ribosomal RNA
Source: RNAcentral
AGUGAACGCUGGCGGUAUGCCUAACACAUGCAAGUCGAACGGCAGCACAGUAAGAGCUCGCUCUUACGGGUGGCGACUGACGGACGGGUGAGGAGUACAUCGGAUUCUACUAUUUCGUGGGGGAUAACGUAGGGACACUUACGCUACUACAUCAUACGUCGUACGGGUGAAAUCAGAGGAGCUUGGCACUCUGCGUGACUCUAUGAGCCGACGUCGGAUUAGCUAGUUGGCAAGGUAACGGCCUACCAAGGCGACGAUGCGUAGCUGGUCUGAGAGGAUGAUCAGCCACACUGGAACUGAGACACGGUCCAGACUCCUACGGGAGGCAGCAGCGGGGAAUAUUGGACAAUGGGCGCAAGCCUGACCGAGCAACACCGCGUGGGUGAAGAAGGCCUUCGGAUUGUAAAGCCCUUUUGUUGGGAAAGAACAGCAGCAGGUUAAUACCCCGCUGUUCUGACGGUACCCAAAGAAUAAGCACCGGCUAACUUCGUG